GAUGAACGCUGGCGGCGUGCUUAACACAUGCAAGUCGAACGAAGCAUUUACGACAGAUUUCUUCGGAUUGAAGUUGUUUAUGACUGAGUGGCGGACGGGUGAGUAACGCGUGGGUAACCUGCCUCAUACAGGGGGAUAGCAGCUGGAAACGGCUGGUAAUACCGCAUAAGCGCACAGCAUCACAUGAUGCAGUGUGAAAAACUCCGGUGGUAUGAGAUGGACCCGCGUCUGAUUAGCUGGUUGGUGAGGUAACGGCCCACCAAGGCGACGAUCAGUAGCCGACCUGAGAGGGUGACCGGCCACAUUGGGACUGAGACACGGCCCAGACUCCUACGGGAGCAGCAGUGGGG
RNAcentral lists this ribosomal RNA (350 nucleotides) under uncultured bacterium. Its description in RNAcentral is "bacterial SSU rRNA". It matches the Rfam family "Bacterial small subunit ribosomal RNA", at positions 28 to 359 of the family's 1533-position model. The record is from RNAcentral.